CUCAGCUACUGCUCUAGUCCCAGGAGUUGCCCAAGUCCCGAAUAAAUUCUGUCUUGCUCAAACUUUUAAAAUUUAAUUCACCUAAGGAAUUUUCCUUUUAACAGUUUUCAUGUAGUUGGCAAGAACCAAAGUUGAACUCCAAUAGCCCAGGAGCAACCAGGCCUAGAUACUAGAAGUCUAUCCUGUUCCUGUCUUGCUGCAUCUGGGAAUUAUAGGUGCCAGCCAUACAGAGAGUUGAAGAUGUGAAGUUAGAGAUUGCUUCUGUAUAAUGGCUUCCCAUCACCUUUAGAAUAGUCUUCAACUCCCCACCUUUUCCAUGAUGAUCUGUAUCCUGCCUCGUACUGGCUAUGUUUCUGCCGAAGUAUGUGUAAACAAGUGAUCCAUUCAAACAUCUGUUGGGUACACAUCAGACACAAG
This 417-nucleotide long non-coding RNA is filed under the name Heterocephalus glaber (naked mole-rat). Its description in RNAcentral is "lncRNA (ENSHGLG00000031349.2)". Lineage: Eukaryota; Metazoa; Chordata; Mammalia; Rodentia; Bathyergidae. The record is from RNAcentral.